This 416-nucleotide long non-coding RNA is filed under the name Citrus maxima (pomelo). RNAcentral describes it as "long non-coding RNA (CMAX_LNC001005)". Lineage: Eukaryota; Viridiplantae; Streptophyta; Magnoliopsida; Sapindales; Rutaceae. The record is from RNAcentral.
CAAAUCAACCAUUUAAACUAAUACCCAUGCAUUUCAUCUUCAUUAAACACUUCUCCAUCAUGAUUUCUUCACUUGUUCUCCAUCAUUCCAUCCUCAUUCCAUUCCCGCGUGAAUAGUGUUCUCCAUUUUUCUUUCUCAAAUCUCUUCAUCUUUCACUCAUUUUCUUGUUAAAAUCAAUCAUCCAACUCAUUAUUCAUCCAUUACUCUUUCAAUUUUCACUCUCAAAACUUGAUUUCAUCAUCUCUCCACAUAAAACCCAAAAUCAAAAACCUAACUACCCGUUUCUCUCUCUAUAUUUUCAAGCUUCCUUUAGCCCAUUUUUGAUCCAAUCUACAUCAUCUAUUAGCUUCAUUCAUCUCUAGGAUCGAUUUUCUUGGCUCAAACAAAUUCAUUUCACUCAAUUUUUGUAAACCCGA